UCCGGUUUGUCACCGGCAGUCUCGCAUGAGUCCCCAACUAAAUGCUGGCAACAUGCGACGGGGGUUGCGCUCGUUGCGGGACUUAACCCAACAUCUCACGACACGAGCUGACGACAGCCAUGCAGCACCUGUGUUCCCGCCAGCCGAACUGAAGGGUCCCAUCUCUGGGACCCACACGGGACAUGUCAAGGGCCGGUAAGGUUCUGCGCGUUGCUUCGAAUUGAACCACAUGCUCCACCGCUUGUGCGGGUCCCCGUCAAUUCCUUUGAGUUUUAACCUUGCGGCCGUACUCCCCAGGCGGUCAACUUCACGCGUUAGCUUCGUUACCAAGGGAAUCAAUCCCCCGACAACCAGUUGACAUAGUUUAGGGCGUGGACUAC
RNAcentral lists this unclassified non-coding RNA (380 nucleotides) under uncultured Pseudomonadota bacterium. RNAcentral's name for it is "uncultured proteobacterium contains 16S-23S intergenic spacer region". Lineage: Bacteria; Pseudomonadati; Pseudomonadota. The record is from RNAcentral.